RNAcentral lists this non-coding RNA (24 nucleotides) under Arabidopsis thaliana (thale cress). The record is from RNAcentral. Lineage: Eukaryota; Viridiplantae; Streptophyta; Magnoliopsida; Brassicales; Brassicaceae.
UUAUCUUUAAUUUCUCGAACUGCA